GAUGAACGCUGGCGGCGUGCCUAAUACAUGCAAGUCGAGCGAACAGAUAAGGAGCUUGCUCCUUUGACGUUAGCGGCGGACGGGUGAGUAACACGUGGGUAACCUACCUAUAAGACUGGGAUAACUUCGGGAAACCGGAGCUAAUACCGGAUAACAUUUGGAACCGCAUGGUUCUAAAGUGAAAGAUGGUUUUGCUAUCACUUAUAGAUGGACCCGCGCCGUAUUAGCUAGUUGGUAAGGUAACGGCUUACCAAGGCAACGAUACGUAGCCGACCUGAGAGGGUGAUCGGCCACACUGGAACUGAGACACGGUCCAGACUCCUACGGGAGGCAGCAGUAGGGAAUCUUCCGCAAUGGGCGAAAGCCUGACGGAGCAACGCCGCGUGAGUGAUGAAGGGUUUCGGCUCGUAAAACUCUGUUAUUAGGGAAGAACAAACGUGUAAGUAACUGUGCACGUCUUGACGGGACCUAAUCAGAAAGCCACGGCUAACUACGU
RNAcentral lists this ribosomal RNA (496 nucleotides) under uncultured bacterium. RNAcentral's name for it is "partial 16S ribosomal RNA". It matches the Rfam family "Bacterial small subunit ribosomal RNA", at positions 28 to 506 of the family's 1533-position model. The record is from RNAcentral.